Long non-coding RNA from Oncorhynchus tshawytscha (Chinook salmon), 488 nucleotides. NCBI's taxonomy places the organism in Eukaryota, Metazoa, Chordata, Actinopteri, Salmoniformes, Salmonidae. The record is from Ensembl.
GUGGUAGACAGAUGGAUGGUAGUGUGGUGGUAGACAGAGAGAUGGUAGUGUGGUGGUAGACAGAUGGAUGGUAGUGUGGUAUUAUACAGAGAGAUGGUAGUGUGGUGGAGGUAGACAGAGAGAUGGUAGUGUGGAGGUAGACAGAGAGAUGGUAGUGUGGUGGUAGACAGAUGGAUGGUAGUGUGGUAUUAUACAGAGAGAUGGUAGUGUGGUGGUAGACAGAGAGAUGGUAGUGUGGUGGUAGACAGAGAGAUGGUAGUGUGGUAUUAUACAUAGAGAUGGUAGUGUGGUGGUGGUAGACAGAGAGAUGGUAGUGUGGUGGUAGACAGAGAGAUGGUAGUGUGGUGGUAGACAGAGAGAUGGUAGUGUGGUGGUAGACAGAGAGAUGGUAAUGUGGAGGUAGACAGAGAGAUGGUAGUGUGGUGGUAGACAGAGAGAUGGCAAUGUGGUGGUGGUAGACAGAGCGAUGGUAGUGUGGUGGUGGUAGA